AACGCGAAGAACCUUACCUGGGCUCGAACGGCUUCGGACCGUCGUGGAAACACGAUUUUCUCGCAAGAGACCGGAGUCGAGGUGCUGCAUGGCUGUCGUCAGCUCGUGUCGUGAGAUGUUGGGUUAAGUCCCGCAACGAGCGCAACCCUUGUCCUGUGUUGCCAUCAUUAAGUUGGGCACUCCCGGGAGACCGCCAGCGAUAAGUUGGAGGAAGGUGGGGAUGAUGUCAAGUCAUCAUGGCCUUUAUGUCCAGGGCUACACACGUGCUACAAUGGACGGUACAAACCGCUGCAAACCCGCGAGGGGGAGCUAAUCGGAAAAAACCGUUCUCAGUUCGGAUUGCAGGCUGCAACUCGCCUGCAUGAAGCUGGAAUCGCUAGUAAUGCCGUAUCAGAACGACGGCGUGAAUACGUUCCCGGGCCUUGUACACACCGCAUAC
This 439-nucleotide ribosomal RNA is filed under the name uncultured bacterium. RNAcentral describes it as "bacterial SSU rRNA". It matches the Rfam family "Bacterial small subunit ribosomal RNA", at positions 958 to 1397 of the family's 1533-position model. The record is from RNAcentral.